Hippocampus comes (tiger tail seahorse) is the source of this 72-nucleotide long non-coding RNA. RefSeq lists it as uncharacterized. Lineage: Eukaryota; Metazoa; Chordata; Actinopteri; Syngnathiformes; Syngnathidae. The transcript is spliced from 3 exons. The record is from RefSeq and is a predicted model, not a curated record.
UGACUGUGGUGUCAUCUGCAAACUUCAGGAGUUUGACAGCUGGAUACGUUGAGGUGCAAUGGUUUGUGUUGA